CACGUAGUUAGCCGUGACUUUCUGGCGGGGCACCAUCUGUCAUCUACCAUUUCCUGUAGUUGCCUUUUUUCCCCCGCAACAGAGCUUUACGACCCGAAGGCCUUCUUCACUCACGCGGCAUCGCUCGUUCAGGCUUGCGCCCAUUGACGAAAAUUCCCUACUGCUGCCUCCCGCAGGAGUCUGGGCCGUGUCUCAGUCCCAAUGUGGCCGUCCGCCCUCUCAGGCCGGCUAUGCAUCAUCGUCUUGGUGGGCCUUUACCCUCGCCAACCAACUAAUGCACCGCAGGUCCAUCCGCGCCCCAUCCCUUACAGGAUGUUUCACAGAAAGAAGAUGCCUCCUUCCUGUACAUCGGGAUUUGUUCUCCGUUUCCAGAGCGUAUUCCCGGUGCGCGGGCAGGUUCCCUACGUGUUACUCACCCGUUCGCCACUAGGAUCCACAAGGAUCCUCGUUCGACUUGCAUGUAUUAGGCAUGCCGCCAGCGUUCAUCCUGAGCCAGGAU
This 499-nucleotide ribosomal RNA is filed under the name uncultured Erysipelotrichaceae bacterium. Its description in RNAcentral is "partial 16S ribosomal RNA". Lineage: Bacteria; Bacillati; Bacillota; Erysipelotrichia; Erysipelotrichales; Erysipelotrichaceae. The record is from RNAcentral.